This 760-nucleotide ribosomal RNA is filed under the name uncultured Eikenella sp. RNAcentral describes it as "bacterial SSU rRNA". It matches the Rfam family "Bacterial small subunit ribosomal RNA", at positions 28 to 776 of the family's 1533-position model. The record is from RNAcentral. Lineage: Bacteria; Pseudomonadati; Pseudomonadota; Betaproteobacteria; Neisseriales; Neisseriaceae.
AUUGAACGCUGGCGGCAUGCUUUACACAUGCAAGUCGAACGGCAGCGGGGCAGUGCUUGCACUACUGUCCGGCGAGUGGCGAACGGGUGAGUAAUAUAUCGGAACGUACCGAGUAAUGGGGGAUAACCAAUCGAAAGAUUGGCUAAUACCGCAUACGUCCUACGGGAGAAAGCGGGGGAUCGCAAGACCUCGCGUUAUUCGAGCGGCCGAUAACUGAUUAGCUAGUUGGUGGGGUAAAGGCCUACCAAGGCGACGAUCAGUAGCGGGUCUGAGAGGACGAUCCGCCACACUGGGACUGAGACACGGCCCAGACUCCUACGGGAGGCAGCAGUGGGGAAUUUUGGACAAUGGGGGCAACCCUGAUCCAGCCAUGCCGCGUGUAUGAAGAAGGCCUUCGGGUUGUAAAGUACUUUUGUUAGGGAAGAAAAGGGAAGUGCUAAUACCACUUUUUGCUGACGGUACCUAAAGAAUAAGCACCGGCUAACUACGUGCCAGCAGCCGCGGUAAUACGUAGGGUGCGAGCGUUAAUCGGAAUUACUGGGCGUAAAGCGAGCGCAGACGGUUAUUUAAGCAGGAUGUGAAAUCCCCGGGCUUAACCUGGGAACUGCGUUCUGAACUGGAUAGCUAGAGUGUGUCAGAGGGGGGUAGAAUUCCACGUGUAGCAGUGAAAUGCGUAGAGAUGUGGAGGAAUACCGAUGGCGAAGGCAGCCCCCUGGGAUAACACUGACGUUCAUGCUCGAGAGCGUGGGUAGCAAACAGG